AUGAACGCUAGCUACAGGCUUAACACAUGCAAGUCGAGGGGCAGCAUGUGGUUGCUUGCAACCAAUGAUGGCGACCGGCGCACGGGUGAGUAACGCGUAUCCAACCUGGCCCGCAGUAGGGAACAGCCCGGCGAAAGUCGGAUUAAUGCCCUAUGUCUUCCUUUGCAGGCAUCCAAUGAGGAAGAAAGAUUUAUCGCUGCGGGAUGGGGAUGCGUCUGAUUAGCUUGUCGGCGGGGUAACGGCCCACCGAGGCGACGAUCAGUAGGGGUUCUGAGAGGAAGGUCCCCCACACUGGUACUGAGACACGGACCAGACUCCUACGGGAGGCAGCAGUGAGGAAUAUUGGUCAAUGGGCGAGAGCCUGAACCAGCCAAGUAGCGUGCAGGGAACCGACUGCCCUAUGGGUUGUAAACUGCUUUUAUGCGGGGAUAAACUUCAGCACGUGUGCUGUUUUGCAGGUACCGCAUGAAUAAGGACCGGCUAAUUCCGUGCCAGCCGCCGC
RNAcentral lists this ribosomal RNA (502 nucleotides) under uncultured bacterium. Its description in RNAcentral is "bacterial SSU rRNA". It matches the Rfam family "Bacterial small subunit ribosomal RNA", at positions 29 to 518 of the family's 1533-position model. The record is from RNAcentral.